This 465-nucleotide ribosomal RNA is filed under the name uncultured bacterium. Its description in RNAcentral is "partial 16S ribosomal RNA". It matches the Rfam family "Bacterial small subunit ribosomal RNA", at positions 28 to 507 of the family's 1533-position model. The record is from RNAcentral.
GACGAACGCUGGCGGCGUGCUUAACACAUGCAAGUCGAACGGAAAGGCCCCUUUGGGGGUACUCGAGUGGCGUACGGGUGAGUAACACGUGAGUAACCUGCCCCUUACUUCGGGAUAACUCCAGGAAACUGGGGCUAAUACCGGAUAGGAAUCCUUGCUGCAUGGUGGGGGUUGGAAAGCUUCGGCGGUUUCGGCUGGACUCGCGGCUUAUCAGCUUGUUGGUGGGGUAGUGGCUUACCAAGGCUUUGACGGGUAGCCGGCCUGAGAGGGUGACCGGCCACAUUGGGGCUGAGAGAAGGCCCAGACUCCGACUGGAGGCAGUGGUGGGGAGUAUUGCACGCUGGGCGGAAGCCUGAUGCGGCGCCGCCGAGGGCGGGAUGGCGGCCUGAGAGUUGUAAACCGCUUUCAGCAGGGGCGGAGAUUGUGGUGACGGUACCUGGAGAAGAAGCACCGGCUAACUACGUG